GAUGAACGCUGGCGGCGUGCCUAAUACAUGCAAGUCGAGCGAACGGACGAGAAGCUUGCUUCUCUGAUGUUAGCGGCGGACGGGUGAGUAACACGUGGAUAACCUACCUAUAAGACUGGGAUAACUUCGGGAAACCGGAGCUAAUCCCGGAUAAUAUUUUGAACCGCAUGGUUCAAAGGUGAAAGACGGUCUUGCUGUCACUUAUAGAUGGAUCCGCGCUGUAUUAGCUAGUUGGUAAGGUAACGGCUUACCAAGGCAACGAUGCAUAGCCGACCUGAGAGGGGGAUCGGCCACACUGGAACGGAGACACGGUCCAGACUCCUACGGGAGGCAGCAGUAGGGAAUCGUACGCAAUGGGCGAAAGCCUGACGGAGCAACGCCGCGUGAGUGAUGAAGGUCUUCGGAUCGUAAAACUCUGUUAUUAGGGAAGAACAUAUGUGUAAGUAACUGUGCACAUCUUGACGGUACCUAAUCAGAAAGCCACGGCUAACUACGUG
RNAcentral lists this ribosomal RNA (497 nucleotides) under uncultured bacterium. RNAcentral's name for it is "partial 16S ribosomal RNA". It matches the Rfam family "Bacterial small subunit ribosomal RNA", at positions 28 to 507 of the family's 1533-position model. The record is from RNAcentral.